This is a long non-coding RNA of Melospiza melodia melodia, 1192 nucleotides long. RefSeq lists it as uncharacterized. The record is from RefSeq and is a predicted model, not a curated record. The transcript has 10 exons. Lineage: Eukaryota; Metazoa; Chordata; Aves; Passeriformes; Passerellidae.
CCAAACUCUGUUGCUUCCAUCUUGGAGCCAUCUGGGCGCUGCCAGGAUGUGGCCUUUGAAGGCACCUCAGUGAAUAUUCACUUUAUUCCUCUGAACUCCAUCUAGCCUCAGCUCCAGCUCCUCAAGGCACCAAGGGAACAGCCUGGAACUUGUCCGUGUGUCCUGCAGUCCGUGGGGUUCUGAUGUCCCUCCAGGGGAACUGGGAAGGCUCAGAGCCUUCAGGAGUCAGGGCUGAUGUUUGUCCUGCAUGAAUACACCAAGAGCUGGAAUGAGCUGCAUCUAGCAAGCUAGCCAACAGUUUUCAGCCUUGUUCUAUGGCAGUCAGCCCUCCACUGGCUUUCAAGAGAUGCUCAGCUUGCCAAGUGCCAGAAGCUUUUUGCAAACAUCAGAAGUGGGAGAGGAUUUCUUGGAGAAAACCUUGCUAUAUCCCUCUGUGAUGAAAGAUUUUAUGCAACACAGGUGGUAUUUGCUCCAGCAGAUGUGCAAACAGCAUUUCUGACCAACACCACCAACUCAGCAUUACCAGCAAGCUCUGUCCUCUCCCGAUCCACCCAGCAAAAAAAGCAGUGCCAGAGCUGACAAUCAAGAAAGUGGCUGCCUGUCCUUAAUAUCCACUUCACUCCAAACUUACUGAAGCACUGGAAACCUCAGAAGCAGCUAUUCCAGUUGCUCAUAAUGUGCUCUUUGUUCCGUGCUUGGCUUAUCUUCGAGCACAAUGCAAUCUGAAGGAAGUACACCCACUCCCUGAUGUUUUCCUUGGGAGCCAGAAAUGUGUGUGCAGCGUUUUUUGGGAAUUUCUGCUACACACCUGUUACCAUGGGACACGAAAUAAUACAACACAGACAUGCAGUUUUCUCAAGUGCUAUUUUAACACCCAGCAACAGAGAGUGAGAGCUGCUGGUGCUCAGAAGGCACAGAUUCCAUCUUAUCUGUUUCCUCCCCUGACUUUGCUUCAGCUCUCACCGGACCAACAAGCUCUGAGAACUCCUAUAAAACUCCAAAGUGAAAAGGAGUGUGCCUGCCAGGUUUGCCAGCCUGAAUAUAUUCUAAGGUGAUGAAUACCAUGGGACUGGUAACUGCUGUAUAAAUGAGUCAUCUGAAGAAUUAAAAAUCAGCCUAUCCAGUUCAGCACUGAAAGGAUGAGUUUGCUCCUGAUUGUCACUGAGAGCUCAAUAAAGAAUCCAUCUCUCCU